This 105-nucleotide small RNA is filed under the name Listeria monocytogenes serotype 4b str. LL195. RNAcentral's name for it is "Listeria sRNA rli38". The record is from RNAcentral. Lineage: Bacteria; Bacillati; Bacillota; Bacilli; Caryophanales; Listeriaceae.
AUCAUAUUAAUAAAGAAAAUCCAUCAUACUUGCCACCAGAUGUGGAUGUGUUUGGUUAAAUUGAAUAAAUCCCCGCAGGAAUUAAGAUCCUGCGGGGAUUUUUGA